AGGGAGUUUGAUCCUGGCUCAUGAUGAACGCUGGCGGCGUGCUUAACACAUGCAAGUCGAACGAAGCAACCUAUCACGAUCCCUUCGGGGUGACGAUUUGUUGACUGAGUGGCGGACGGGUGAGUAACGCGUGGGUAACCUGCCUUGUACAGGGGGACAACAGUUGGAAACGACUGCUAAUACCGCAUAAGCGCACAGCUUCGCAUGAAGCGGUGUGAAAAGUUAUUUCGGUACAAGAUGGACCCGCGUCUGAUUAGCUAGUUGGUGAGGUAACGGCCCACCAAGGCGACGAUCAGUAGCCGACCUGAGAGGGUGACCGGCCACAUUGGGACUGAGACACGGCCCAAACUCCUACGGGAGGCAGCAGUGGGGAAUAUUGCACAAUGGGCGAAAGCCUGAUGCAGCGACGCCGCGUGAGCGAAGAAGUAUUUCGGUAUGUAAAGCUCUAUCAGCAGGGAAGAUAAUGACGGUACCUGACUAAGAAGCACCGGCUAAAUACGUGCCAGCAGCCGCGGUAAUACGUAUGGUGCAAGCGUUAUCCGGAUUUACUGGGUGUAAAGGGAGCGUAGGCGGUUUUACAAGUCUGAUGUGAAAGCCCGGGGCUCAACUCCGGUAUUGCAUUGGAAACUGUAGAACUAGAGUGUCGGAGGGGUAAGUGGAAUUCCUAGUGUAGCGGUGAAAUGCGUAGAUAUUAGGAGGAACACCAGUGGCGAAGGCGGCUUACUGGACGAUUACUGACGCUGAGGCUCGAAAGCGUGGGGAGCAAACAGGAUUAGAUACCCUGGUAGUCCCCU
This 794-nucleotide ribosomal RNA is filed under the name uncultured Bacillota bacterium. RNAcentral's name for it is "bacterial SSU rRNA". It matches the Rfam family "Bacterial small subunit ribosomal RNA", at positions 1 to 799 of the family's 1533-position model. The record is from RNAcentral. Lineage: Bacteria; Bacillati; Bacillota.